UCACCCUCUCUCUGCCUUCCUCUUCUCUCUCCCUUUUCCGGCAGCCGCUCCCCUCCUUCUCUCCUCCUCUCCCUCUCAUUCUUCUUCCCCUCUUUCUCUCUCCCAUCCUUCUCCCCUCUCCCAUCGUUCCCUUUCUCCCUCUUUCUCCCCAUCGCCUUCUGUACCCUCCCGUCUCUUCUCUUCCCCUUCCUCUGCUCCUUUCUUUUCUUCUUUUGCAGGUAGCAGGUUUCAGCGAGCAGGAACAACUCGACCCAGCAGCAACUCUAACUAGCCGCUUCCCUCUCCCAUCACUCUUCUUCUUCUUCUCCCUUUCUCCGCCUCCCUCUUCCCCUCUUUCCUCUCCCGUUUCCCCUUCGUCUUCCCCUUCUUAUUCUCCUUUCUUUCUUUUCUCCUUUUUCAGCCAGCAACUAGCGAGAUAGCAACUCGCUUAUCCUCUCUAAUUUCCAGGCGAGGCGACCAACAACUCUGACCGGCGAAUCAACAACUUCGACCAGCAAAACCAUUUCCCCAUCUGGCCCAGGUAGCCUGCAACAGCAAGCAGCAGCCACACGAGGAUGGGAGAUUUCAGCAACCAGUAGCUCUGUGGUAGCAAUAGCCGUGAGCAGCUCUGACAAGGUUCGAAAUGCCCGAAACUUGCACUAAGCCGGGUCUUGAAAAAUUCGCCUAGAUUUCUCCUUUACAAAUUAUGGAUGAUUACUAAUAUAUCCUUCUUGCCUUAGUUUUGAAGAAGAUAGGCAUAUUUUACAUGGUUUUGGACUUAAAGUUAAAGAUGAUGAAGAGUGGCCUAGAAGAAAUUUCGGACAAAGCUUUGUUUGUUUUAAUGUUGUGUAUAUUUUUAUCUGUUAUUUUUAUUACAACAUGUGUAUAACUCUAAAGCAACUCUUAUGUAUGAAACAAUUUUGGGGAUCGCCUAGGGAGGGGGAAUUAUGUGUUAAAUAUCUUCUUUUUCUUAUUUU
Solanum lycopersicum (tomato) is the source of this 956-nucleotide long non-coding RNA. RefSeq lists it as uncharacterized. The record is from RefSeq and is a predicted model, not a curated record. NCBI's taxonomy places the organism in Eukaryota, Viridiplantae, Streptophyta, Magnoliopsida, Solanales, Solanaceae.